RNAcentral lists this long non-coding RNA (422 nucleotides) under Hordeum vulgare. RNAcentral describes it as "long non-coding RNA (HVUL_LNC015906)". The record is from RNAcentral. Lineage: Eukaryota; Viridiplantae; Streptophyta; Magnoliopsida; Poales; Poaceae.
GGUCAAGUUCAAGUGGAACAUCACGAAGAUACCAUGCUUGGAGCUUGUUGUCCAUUGUGGUGGCCAUGGACUUGUGAAGAUGUGCUAAAGAGUGGCUCACCCAUAGUGGAGUAUGGGGGGCAAUUUACAAGUCUUCAUCGAGCCAGCGCAACCAAGAAAAGUGGUCCAUCUUGAGGAAGUCAAGAUCAUCAUCAUCUAGCUCAAGUGGACUAUGUUCAAGGUAUAUGUUUGCCGUUGAUAGGUUUUCUAUUCUAGGAUAGAUUAUUGUACUGUCAAGGGGGGCUUUGAAGUGAGUAGCUUGAUCGUAUCGUUUGUUGAGAGCUCAAACCAUUUGCAUCCUUGCAUCAUCUUUCUUGGUUAUUAUUUGGUGGUUCUCUUUGUGAGUUUUAGAGCUUAUGGCCAUCCUUAUGACAAGCUUGAGU